Molecule: ribosomal RNA, 406 nt
Filed under: uncultured bacterium
Lineage: Bacteria
Description: partial 16S ribosomal RNA
Rfam family: Bacterial small subunit ribosomal RNA
Source: RNAcentral
AUUGAACGCUGGCGGCAGGCCUAACACAUGCAAGUCGAACGAGCGGCGGACGGGUGAGUAAUGUCUGGGAAUCUGCCUGAUUGAGGGGGAUAACUACUGGAAACGGUAGCUAAUACCUCAUACCAUCAGAUGAGCCCAGAUGGGAUUAGCUUGUUGGUGGGGUAACGGCUCACCUAGUCGACGAUCCCUAGCUGGUCUGAGUGGAUGAUCGGCCACACGGGAACUGGGAAACGGUCCAGACUCCUACGGGAGGCAGCAGUGGGGAAUAUUGCACAAUGGGCGCAAGCCGGAUGGAGCCAUGCAGAGUGUAUGAAGAAGGCCUUCGGGUUGUAAAGUACUUUCAGCGGGGAGGCGUUACCCGAAGAAGAAGCACCGGCUAACUCAGUGCCAGCCGCCGCGGUAAUAC